CCUACGGGAGGCAGCAGUGAGGAAUAUUGGUCAAUGGCCGGAAGGCUGAACCAGCCAAGCCGCGUGAAGGACGAAGGUGCCAAGCAUUGUAAACUUCUUUUGUCAAGGGACAAAAUCAGGCUCGAGAGCCUGACCGAGGGGACUUGAAGAAAAAGCAUCGGGUAACUCCGUGCCAGCAGCCGCGGUAAUAAGGAGGAUGCGAGCUUUAUCCGGAUUUGUGGGGUUAAAGGGGUGCGUCGGCGGGCUGGUAAGUCAGCGGUAAAAGCCCGGGGCUCAACCCCGGCGAGCCGUUGAAACUGGCUGUCUUGAGAUGUCGAGCGGUAUGCGGAAUGCGCAGUGUAGCGGUGAAAUGCUUAGAUAUUGCGCAGAACUCCGAUUGCGAAGGCAGCAUACCGGCGGCGAUCUGACGCUGAGGCACGAAAGCGUGGGUAUCGAACAGGAUUAGAUACCCUGGUAGUC
This 459-nucleotide ribosomal RNA is filed under the name uncultured bacterium. RNAcentral's name for it is "partial 16S ribosomal RNA". It matches the Rfam family "Bacterial small subunit ribosomal RNA", at positions 338 to 795 of the family's 1533-position model. The record is from RNAcentral.